GGGCAAUUGGUCUAGGGGUAUGAUUUUCGCUUCGCAAUCUCUGAUGCGCCCUGUGAAAGGUCACCGGUUCGAAUCCGGUAUUGUCCA
Molecule: non-coding RNA, 87 nt
Organism: Collariella sp. IMI 366227
Lineage: Eukaryota; Fungi; Ascomycota; Sordariomycetes; Sordariales; Chaetomiaceae
Source: the annotation of a GenBank genome assembly